RNAcentral lists this ribosomal RNA (252 nucleotides) under uncultured bacterium. RNAcentral describes it as "partial 16S ribosomal RNA". It matches the Rfam family "Bacterial small subunit ribosomal RNA", at positions 524 to 776 of the family's 1533-position model. The record is from RNAcentral.
UACAGAGGUCUCAAGCGUUGUUCGGAUUCAUUGGGCGUAAGGGUGCGUAGGCGGCGCGGUAAGUCGGGUGUGAAAUCUCGGGGCUUAACUCCGAAACUGCAUUCGAUACUGCCGUGCUUGAGGACUGGAGAGGAGACUGGAAUUUACGGUGUAGCGGUGAAAUGCGUAGAUAUCGUAAGGAAGACCAGUGGCGAAGGCGGGUCUCUGGACAGUUCCUGACGCUGAGGCACGAAGGCCAGGGGAGCAAACGGG